GUGGAAUUCGGCUUAGAGUUUGAUCCUGGCUCAGAUUGAACGCUGGCGGCAGGCUUAACACAUGCAAGUCGAGCGGUAACAGAUCCAGCUUGCUGGAUGCUGACGAGCGGCGGACGGGUGAGUAAUGCAUAGGAAACUGCCCAAUAGUGGGGGAUAGCCCGGGGAAACCCGGAUUAAUACCGCAUACGUCCUACGGGAGAAAGCAGGGGCUCUUCGGACCUUGCGCUAUUGGAUGUGCCUAUGUCGGAUUAGCUAGUUGGUGGGGUAAAGGCCUACCAAGGCGACGAUCCGUAGCUGGUCUGAGAGGAUGAUCAGCCACAUCGGGACUGAGACACGGCCCGAACUCCUACGGGAGGCAGCAGUGGGGAAUAUUGGACAAUGGGGGCAACCCUGAUCCAGCCAUGCCGCGUGUGUGAAGAAGGCUUUCGGGUUGUAAAGCACUUUCAGUGAGGAGGAAAACCCUAGGUUAAUACCCAUGAGGCUUGACGUUACUCACAGAAGAAGCACCGGCU
This 512-nucleotide ribosomal RNA is filed under the name bacterium enrichment culture clone NKeA5A1. RNAcentral's name for it is "bacterial SSU rRNA". It matches the Rfam family "Bacterial small subunit ribosomal RNA", at positions 1 to 498 of the family's 1533-position model. The record is from RNAcentral.